Molecule: ribosomal RNA, 193 nt
Filed under: Enterococcus faecium
Lineage: Bacteria; Bacillati; Bacillota; Bacilli; Lactobacillales; Enterococcaceae
Also listed under: 1 other name
Description: partial 16S ribosomal RNA
Rfam family: Bacterial small subunit ribosomal RNA
Source: RNAcentral
UUUUAUGAGAGUUUGAUCCUGGCUCAGGACGAACGCUGGCGGCGUGCCUAAUACAUGCAAGUCGAACGCUUCUUUUUCCACCGGAGCUUGCUCCACCGGAAAAAGAGGAGUGGCGAACGGGUGAGUAACACGUGGGUAACCUGCCCAUCAGAAGGGGAUAACACUUGGAAACAGGUGCUAAUACCGUAUAACA